CCCCUAGAGCGGGCGGACGGGUGAGUAACACGUGGACCGAAUCCUGCCCCCCGGCCCCGGGAUAGGCCCAGGGGAAACCUGGAUUAAUACCGGAUGAGACGGGACCCGCGAUGGCGGGACCCGGGAAAGGCGCUGCGGCGCCGCCGGGGGGAUGAGUCGUGCGUCCCAUUAGCUAGGACGGCGGGGUAACGGCCCAACCGUGGCGACGAUGGGUAGCCGGCCUGAGAGGGUGGACGGCCACAUUGGGACUGAGACACGGUCCAGACUCCUACGGGAGGCAGCAGCUAAGAAUCUUCCGCAAAUGGGGCGAAAGCCGUGACGGAGCGAACCGGCCGCGUGAACGAAGAAGGCCGUGAGGUUGUAAAGUUCUUUUCGGGAGGGGGAACAACCGUGGCAGGGAAUGGCCGCGGGAUGACGUGAAUCCCGGAAUAAGCCCCGGCUAACUACGUGCCAGCCGCCGC
This 461-nucleotide ribosomal RNA is filed under the name uncultured bacterium. RNAcentral's name for it is "bacterial SSU rRNA". It matches the Rfam family "Bacterial small subunit ribosomal RNA", at positions 86 to 518 of the family's 1533-position model. The record is from RNAcentral.